This 432-nucleotide ribosomal RNA is filed under the name uncultured bacterium. Its description in RNAcentral is "partial 16S ribosomal RNA". It matches the Rfam family "Bacterial small subunit ribosomal RNA", at positions 29 to 507 of the family's 1533-position model. The record is from RNAcentral.
AACGAACGCUGGCGGCAGGCCUAACACAUGCAAGUCGAGCGCGCCCUUCGGGGUGAGCGGCGGACGGGUGAGUAACGCGUGGGAACGUGCCCUUUUCUACGGAAUAGCCUCGGGAAACUGAGAGUAAUACCGUAUACGCCCUUUGGGGGAAAGAUUUAUCGAAAAGGAUCGGCCCGCGUUGGAUUAGGUAGUUGGUGGGGUAAUGGCCUACCAAGCCGACGAUCCAUAGCUGGUUUGAGAGGAUGAUCAGCCACACUGGGACUGAGACACGGCCCAGACUCCUACGGGAGGCAGCAGUGGGGAAUCUUAGACAAUGGGGGCAACCCUGAUCUAGCCAUGCCGCGUGAGUGAUGAAGGCCUUAGGGUUGUAAAGCUCUUUCAGCUGGGAAGAUAAUGACGGUACCAGCAGAAGAAGCCCCGGCUAACUCCGUG